This 1303-nucleotide long non-coding RNA is filed under the name Oryctolagus cuniculus (rabbit). RNAcentral describes it as "lncRNA (ENSOCUG00000034501.1)". Lineage: Eukaryota; Metazoa; Chordata; Mammalia; Lagomorpha; Leporidae. The record is from RNAcentral.
AUGGAUUUCACAAUUUUUUGCAACAAAAUAACCUUAUCCUCUAAUUGCAUUUUCCACAACUUUUUCAAGUCUCAUAAUUUUGGUAAUGUCUUAGAAAUUAAAAUUACCAAAAAAAAUUUUUUGUGUUCCCUCAUUUGUUUGGUCAAAGGUCUGGAAAAUUCAUUGUUCCCUUCACUGACCCUGAGAAGCCUGCCUCCAGUUGGCUUUGUUGGAUUCACAGAUUUGAUGAAUUCCACUCCAGCCGCAGUCCAGGACACCGUGAGGACACGGCUGGAGCUUCCCACCCGCUUCUGCCACGGGUGCUCUCCUUUGCAGUCACGUCUGAGAGCCCAGCGCAGGCCGCGGAGAACCUGGAAGCCGAAGUCCCGGUGGACUUCCGUCCCCGAGGGAGGUCAACAGGGGGAGCCCCGGCUUUCAAAAAGGAGCUGAGCGGCCGGCUGCCUCUUCUUGCUCCUCAGGCUGGGGCUCUGGGCGAGAACAGGGAGGCGGCCUUCCUGCGCGGGCAGCGGCCUUCAGCAGAGUGCAUCCCGCAUCCGUGGGGAUGAGACCAAAGCCCCAGGGCCCGCAGGAGAAACAGCCGGCUCCGGGGAUGGGACGGGGCCCCUGACCAGGGAGGCCGGGGCCUAGCACAGCAGUCGCCGAAGUGGGGUUUUGCGGAGGAGACAAGGAAACGCUGGGUUCAGAUAUGGCUAAGCACAGACACGGCUUUCUGGAGCUGAAAACAAACAAACAAAAACCCUGGAGACCUCCAUAAAUAAUUUAGCAGAGGAACCGGGAGAGAGGCUGCUAUUUUCCUGGUGAACUCCGAAGUAGUCGUUUAGGAAUUAGGAACCAGACGUUUCUUCUCUGAGAUUUAUUUAUCUGAAAAGCAGAAUGACAGAGAGAGAGGAGUGAGAGAGAGAAAACCUUCUACCUGCUGGUUCACUCCACCAAAUGGCUGUAACUACCAGGGCUUGGCCAGGCUGAAGCCAGGAGCUGGGGGCUCCAUCUGGGUCACCCAUGUAAGUGGCCUUACGAGUACUUGAGCCAGCUUCAGCUGCUUCCCAGGCACAUUAGCAAGGAGCUGGAUUGGAAGCAGUGCAGCCAGGACUCCAACUGGCUCUCAGGGAUGGCCUACGGACGUCCCAAGUGGUGGCUUAACCCCCAGUGCCACAAUGUCUACCCCAAACUCUUCUUUAAGUACAGAGUGAGAUAUGCAAAGUUGGGAAUCUGGGAGAGUGGUUAGAGACUUAGGAAACAGGGCAAGGAAACCUACCAUGUGAAACCUACCAUGUGAAUAAAGGUAGUCCUAGAGGAAGAAACA